This 255-nucleotide ribosomal RNA is filed under the name uncultured bacterium. RNAcentral's name for it is "partial 16S ribosomal RNA". It matches the Rfam family "Bacterial small subunit ribosomal RNA", at positions 524 to 776 of the family's 1533-position model. The record is from RNAcentral.
UACGUAGGGCGCAAGCGUUAUCCGGAAUUAUUGGGCGUAAAGAGCUCGUAGGCGGUUCGUUAUGUCUGCUGUGAAAGCCCCGGGCUUAACCCGGGAAUGGCAGUGGAAACUGGCGGGCUUGAGUGUGGCAGAGGGGGGGUGGAAUUCCGCGUGUAGCAGUGAAAUGCGUAGAGAUGCGGAGGAACACCGAUGGCGAAGACAGCCCCCCUGGGCUAACACUGACGCUGAGGCACGAAAGCGUGGGGAGCAAACAGG